GACGAACGCUGGCGGCGUGCUUAACACAUGCAAGUCGAACGGAAAGGUCUGCUUUUCCUUGUGGAUUGCUGGUACGCGAGUGGGGAACUAGCGAGUAACAAGCGAAUGAUCUGGCCCCAACUUGGGUAGGAGCCUGGGAGACUGUGUCGAAUACCCGAUUGGACUGCAGGGUGGAGCCGGGGGUGGAAAUCUUGUUUCUACUGGUUGGUGAUGCGCCCGCGGCGUAUCAGCUUGUUGGUGUGGCAACGGCCUAACAAGGCGACGAUGGGCAGCCGAACUGAGAGGGUGAGCGGCCACAGCUGAACUGAGACACGGUCCAGACUCCUACGGGAGGCAGCAGUAGGGAAUCUUCCGCAAUGGGCGAAAGCCUGACGGAGCAACGCCGCGUGAGUGAUGAAGGUCUUCGGAUCUUAAAACUAUGUUAUUAGGGAAGAACAAAUGUGUAAGUAAUUAUGCACGUCUUGACGGUACCUAAUCAGAAAGCCACGGCUAACUACGUG
RNAcentral lists this ribosomal RNA (500 nucleotides) under uncultured bacterium. Its description in RNAcentral is "partial 16S ribosomal RNA". It matches the Rfam family "Bacterial small subunit ribosomal RNA", at positions 28 to 507 of the family's 1533-position model. The record is from RNAcentral.